GCGAURCCGCGAAUGGCUCAAUAUAUCAGUUUUGGUUCCUUAGAUCUUACUCAGUUACUUGGAUAACUGUGGCAAUUCUAGAGCUAAUACAUGCAAUCAGAGCUCCGACCAGUGAUGGGAAGAGUGCUUUUAUUAGAUCAAAACCAAUCGACGGAGGUGGCCUCGGUCGCCGAAGUCGUUUCUUUUGAUGAAUCUGGAUAACUUUUGCGGAUCGCACGGUCCAGUACCGGCGAUGCAUCUUUCAAAUGUCUGCCUUAUCAACUUUCGAUGGUAGUUUCUGCGACUACCAUGGUUGUCACGGGUAACGGGGAAUCAGGGUUCGAUUCCGGAGAGGGAGCCUGAGAAACGGCUACCACAUCCAAGGAAGGCAGCAGGCGCGCAAAUUACCCACUCGGCACGGGGAGGUAGUGACGAAAAAUAACGAUACGGGAAUCUUUCGAGGCCUCGUAAACGGAAUGAGAACACUUUAAAUAUUUUAACGAGUAUCAAUUGGAGGGCAAGUCUGGUGCCAGCAGCCGCGGUAAUUCCAGCUCCAAUAGCGUAUACUAAAAUUGUUGCGGUUAAAAAGCUCGUAGUUGCAUUUGUGCGCCGCGCUGUCGGUUCAUCGCGUCAGCGAUGAGACUGACACGUCUGCGGGGCAUAUCGUCGGUGAG
This 653-nucleotide ribosomal RNA is filed under the name Mnesarchaea paracosma. RNAcentral describes it as "SSU rRNA". It matches the Rfam family "Eukaryotic small subunit ribosomal RNA", at positions 81 to 712 of the family's 1831-position model. Lineage: Eukaryota; Metazoa; Arthropoda; Insecta; Lepidoptera; Mnesarchaeidae. The record is from RNAcentral.